AAUCAGAAUGAUAUUCAAUUGCAAUUAGCCACGCCUAGAGGUACAAUGGAGGACUGAAAAGGUCUAAAUGAGUGUUUUGUUCAUUUGUGUCACUUAAGCGACAGAGUGCCAAAAAAGCAAAAUGGAAAUCAUGCAUGAUGCUCUCAUUAGCUCUUGUUGAUCACAGAGACUUGUGGCAGGAAUGACACACGAGUGAUAUGCAUUGGGUUGGAUUUGGUGACUGUUAUGUUGGAGUGUGGCGUGAAGAGUCUUGGAUACAUUAAAUCACUGAGAGUUCUCAUGCAAGACGGACUCUGCCAUCACUUACUUACUGUAAAUGAGCAACUUUACGAAUUGCUUCAGAACGAAUCUGUUGAUGUUUUUGGUUGCUCUUUGACAAAGUGCUUUCUUCUUUUUGAUUCAAAUUGUCAUCAUCUCAAACUACAGCUGGAGUGGUUCCAUAAUAAGCUAAUGCACACAAUACAAUUAGAUCAGUCAAGACUUCAAGCAAGCAGACAAGAGCUAACAUUAGAAUGUCUCAAUUCAAUUUUGUCACAUUCAUAAUUUUGUAUCAGAGUUAUAUGUUAAUUAUGAUUGCAGUACCUACUGUACUAACGUGUGCGAGAGACUGAGCAAACUACUUGCUAAGUACGGGGUAUUUUGCUAAAUAUUAUUACAGCAAGCAUUCCCCAGCUCUUAUCACACGAUAUCAUCAACCAACAUAAUUAGCAAUGGAAACACUACUGGCAAUGAUACUGGCAUUAGAAUCAACCAACACCACCACUACUGAUAGUGAUGAUACCAAUGAUGGUGAUACUAAUAGAAUGUGUACUAAGAUUAAUGGAGGGAAAGUUGCAGGUGACUGUAAUAAAGGAAUAAGCAGCAGCAACCAGAUAUCAGUCUGAAUGGAGCAGAGGAGGUGGGUGGAGCUAUAUCAGAACGUAAUAUGGCGUUUUGGCCUUUUGUCACUUUAUUUAACCAUUUUUAAGGGUACCAUCAAGGAUCUCAAGUCCUUUUUUGUAGGCGGAGUUGACAAAUUGUCAUCAAAAUUACAUGAAUGAACAUUAAAGGUACCGUCAAGGAUCUCAAGUCCAUUUUAGAGGGCGGAGUUGACGCCUUGUCUUCACAUCUACAUGAAUGAACAUUAAAGGUUGAGAAGAGGUCAUCGUGGGGGGCGGAGUCAUGCGUCCCAUCUAAUAUGGCGUUUUGGCCUUUUGUCACUUCAUUUAACCGU
Molecule: long non-coding RNA, 1213 nt
Organism: Amphimedon queenslandica
Lineage: Eukaryota; Metazoa; Porifera; Demospongiae; Haplosclerida; Niphatidae
Exons: 11
Source: RefSeq, a predicted model, not a curated record